Long non-coding RNA from Lolium rigidum, 736 nucleotides. RefSeq lists it as uncharacterized. The transcript has 2 exons. Lineage: Eukaryota; Viridiplantae; Streptophyta; Magnoliopsida; Poales; Poaceae. The record is from RefSeq and is a predicted model, not a curated record.
CAACAAAUCUACACGAGAUUUUCUUGCAUUGAGAAACUUUAUUAUUCUUGCCUGAUAUCAACAAACAUUCCUGCAUAAUGACCAUAUACUCUAUGCUGAAAAUCUUCUGCCGUUCUGUUUUUUAUGCUACUGAAUUCUAAAGCUAGACCCAGUGCCUUGUUACAGUUACUGAAAAUAACGUGUCAGUGUUCUUCAUUAUUACUUUGUUAUGGCAUGAAAAAAGCAGCUUUGUUUAAUUUCUUUACUACUCAAAUUUGCUAGCAUGAAUCUUACUCUGAGACUCACGACAACGAUGAGGCCGGGGAUAAUGGUGAGCAUAUUGUGCCGAGAACAUUUGGUCCUUUGCUUGCAUUUAUUUCGUCGUCCAAUCAAGCUUUUACUGGUAAAGUCCUUGAUACAUUACCGAUAAAACCGAGAGGUGCUCCAUGUAAGAAGAGGCCUAAGCCAUUCCACGAGAGGUUCAAUUCUAGACAGAAAGGUAUUUAAUAAUGGCUUCCAUCCGCCUAAGUGCAACAUGAUGUGCCACUGUCCGUGAGCAGCAAUGUGCUAUUGGUGUUGUUGCAAUCCUGUAAUCUCAACUUCUUAGUAAUCGGUACACAAGAUAGGUCAUCUAUGCAGGGAAUAGACGGGUUUAUUAAGCACACAUAUCAUUAUACUGUGUUUUACGUUAAUUGCAAUGUCUGAGCUGCUCACAUUUUGUGAAACCAUCAUCUGUUGAAUAAAGCAUGAGUUGCUA